GUGCGUGUAGCUCAGUGGUAGAGCACGUGCUUAGCAUGCAUGAGGUCCUUGGUUCAAUUCCCAGUACCUCCA
This 72-nucleotide transfer RNA is filed under the name Camelus bactrianus (Bactrian camel). It matches the Rfam family "tRNA". Rfam says of the family: Transfer RNA (tRNA) molecules are approximately 80 nucleotides in length. Their secondary structure includes four short double-helical elements and three loops (D, anti-codon, and T loops). RNAcentral also lists the same sequence under 2 other names. The record is from Rfam by way of RNAcentral. Lineage: Eukaryota; Metazoa; Chordata; Mammalia; Artiodactyla; Camelidae.